This 5726-nucleotide long non-coding RNA is filed under the name Homo sapiens (human). The record is from RNAcentral. Lineage: Eukaryota; Metazoa; Chordata; Mammalia; Primates; Hominidae.
ACAGAGUGGGAGGGGAAUGAAGUGUGACAAACUCUCUUAUAAAAGAUAAGGCAAAAAUGGCAGUCAAUUAUUGUUUCUGAUAAAUGUAAUGUCAUCCAAUAAUUUAUAGUAAUUCUGAGAACUAUAGCCAGUAAAAUGAAUUUGCAUAGUCUGUCUUCUUUAGGACACUGAUUUUCAAACUUGAAUGCACACUGGAAUCACCCGAGGAAUUUAAAAAAACACCGACACCUGGAUCCCACACAAGGACCCUGAUUUAAAUGGAUAAUCCUCACCAGCCUCAGAGUUCAUGUCUGAAAGUAUAGAGGCGGCAGAUAACCAAUGCAAGUGAACAUGGGUGAAAAUGGAUGAAAGUCCAUCUGGGCUGUCUGCAAAAUGAGAAGAUUCUAGACACUGUUUCUUAAAUACCUUGGAGGCGAGGAUCACAAAAUGCUCUCAGAAGUUUAUGAAAGCUAUGGAGUCUCCGGAAAUAUUCAGAAUUUUGCAUGUUCUGGAUGAAGCCUUCCACCAUUUUAAAGCUCCUUUUAUGGAUAUUUCUGGUUUUGGUCUCAGAUUUUCAUUCUCCAAACAUUCUCUUUAGAUGACCACAUUCACUUUCAAGUAUUCAUGCCAAAUAAAUCUUCAUUUCCAGCCCAGACCUCCCUCCAAACUCUUGGUUUGUUUAGUCACUUGCAACACAGAUUAUUCAUCCAGAUUUCCAUGGGCAUCUCAAAAUCAACACAUCCAAAAUGAAGUUAUCAUCCCUGAUAAUCCUCCUAGCUCCUGUCCCAUUCAUCUCCCUCCCAUCUCUCACCCAUAAAGAAUUAACUACUGAUGUUUCUCACUAACCAACCCAUAAUAAUGACCUGCAUUAAUUAAUCCAUGUGCAAUUCAGAAUUACUUACAUUCAUUUAUCCAUGUGAUAUUUUCACUCAUUAAUCACCAUCGUCUGCAUAUGUAAACAGGAACAACAACAUCCACCUAUCCCAGCAGGGGUUUUGCAAUUACUUUAAAGCCUUUUCAAAUAUAUUUUUGUGUGAUUAAAAUGAUGGAGAUAUUUCAAAUGAAUUCAAGUAUAAAAUGCAAAAUAUUCCAACUUCAUAAACUGUUUACUUCUGGCUUAGAAAAUGUUAAUAUUUUUACUCAACCCAUCUGGCUCUGGAGAUGCUGUGUGUGCUUGAUAAUUGUAUGUGAAAAUUAUUAUUUGCAUCUUUAAAAAUUACUUGAGGAAUGCUAUUUAUUAAACUUGUUAUUCCUAUCUAUUUUUUGACAACAUAAUACAACUUUAAAUUCAAAAGAAAAAUUGACAAGACAUAUUUUAGCAGUUUAAAAUGAACAUCACAGAUACAAAAUGAUCAAAGUAAAAUAUUAUUAGCUGUAGAUGACUCAAAUAUUUCCUCGUCUUACUGUCUUUUGUUUUGAUGUGAUUUCCUUCCAUCCUUAAAAAAUCCUGUAGCACCAUCUGCUCCUAUAACACUUUGGCAUGCUUAAAAAUUUCAUUUCCAGACUCGGCAGUUUUGAAAUACUUCCAUGGACAUUUCUUAAAGAAAAUAAGUUGGAAGAAUUUCCAUUCCUCCCAGCUUGUUUCUUAAUAAACAGCAGACGAAGUACUCAAGAAACACAGAGCUAUAUAAAUGUUUUGUUAUAAUCAGACAUUUCCCUUCUGAUUUUCCCUCUGACCCUGUGGCUAUAUUAUGCCUGAGGAAACAGUAUUUUAUAUGCUAUGUGCACAGUUUAUGCAACAAUUUUUUAAUAUGCAGAUCUGGUUUUAUAAUCUGAAUUCUAAAAUGUAAUGAAUUUCCAUGAAGUGUAUGUUUCAUGGAUAAGCCAGCAUUUAAUAAAUGACUAGAUUACCCAAACACUCCAAGGGAAGUUGGAGACUAAGCAAGUAAUAUCAGUAAAAAUAAUCCAAUAAACUAAAUAGAUUCUCCUUCUACGAAAUUUAACCAUACAUUUAGAAAAAAUUAGACUUCCAGUUUUUGACAGCGGUAAUGGAAAAUUAAGUGGCUCAUUUUUUCAAUGUGUAUGACUCCAAGUCGUUGAAACUGAUACAGAAGUAUAAAUAAGAGGUAUUAAGUGAUGCUGAAACUGUGGUAGGAGAAAUAGCAAUGGACUAAUGGCCUCCUCAGGGAAGCCUAAAUAUAGGUGUUGCAUUGUUUACAAAUAUAUUCAUCCUUUUAGUCACUUAUUCAGCAUAUAUCAAACACCUACUAUGUCUAGAUUUCAUGUUAGUUUCUGCAAUGAAUCAAUAAUUUCCUUGUCAUUUUAAAAUAAUAUUUAUCUAUCAUCUUAGAGAUGCAACUUGGUCCCCUUCAUCCAGCAAUUUCUACUCUAACCCGUUUUUCACAUAAUAGCCAGAGUAAAUUUUGUAAAGUUACAAUUGUAUUGUAGGAUAAAGGUCUAACUCCUUAAUGUGGUUUACAAUGCCCUUUACAAAAGUCUCACUUUUACUUACCCUCUUAGUCUCUGCCUUUCUACACUUACUGUCUAGCCAUACUGAAUUACUUCGCUGUCACUCGAGACUUAGUUCUUUGCAUGCUCUUUCCUCCACCAAAAAUAUUUUUUUUUCUCCUCUCCUUACCUGGCUUCUUUUUUAAAAACUUUUAUUUAUUUAUUUAUUUAUUUUGAGACAGAGUCUCUCUCUAUCACCCAGGUGGGAGUGCAGGGGUGCAAUCUCGGGCUCACUGCAACCUCUGCCUUCCAGGUUCAAGCGAUCCUCCUGCCUCACCCUCCCAAGUAGCUGGGAUUACAGGCAUGCACCACCAUGCCUGGCUAAUUUUUGUAGUUUUAGUAGAGACGGGGUUUCACCAUGUUGGCCAGGCUGGUCUCAAACUCCUGACCUCAAGUGAUCUGCCUGAGGCCUCCCAAAGUACUGGGAUUACAGGCGUGAGCCACCGUUCCCGGCCUCUUUACCUGACUUCUUUUCUUUACCCUUUAGUUUCUGACAUAAACAUCUUAUCAGUGAAACCUUCCCUAAGGAACAAUGCCAAGUCAGAUGACCAUAGUGACCUAUGCUUUCCACCUUGCAGCACAUAACACAGCCAGUUAUUUAUUUCCUUGCCUCUUCUACUGGACUGUAAACCCCUUGAGGACAGGAAAUAUACUUUGCUUGCCCUGGAAACCUCGUUAUGUGAAAUAGCACUUUGGCAUACCUUGGUAAAAAAAAGGCUGAAUGAGGAAGUGGAAGAGUGAGCCAUGCAUUCUUCCUGUCUCUCUGAGUGAGGUCAUUCAAAAUGGCAAGGGUGUAAAGACGAGGGAGGCAUUCAUUUGCCUUGCCACUUGACUACAUGGGUUGGAAUAUUUGAUGGUAAAUGCACAUACUUAAUCAUACUCUUUUUUAAACACUACAUUUAAAUUCUAAUUUACUAUUAAAAUAUUUCCAACUUAAAUCAGUAAUGCCUUAAUUUUUCUUAUGGAGAAGAGUGUGUGACUUACUCUUCUUGUUUACUUUAGUGCAUUAUGAUGGACUGAAAUACAAAACAAUUCCAAGAUCAACUUAAAUAUAUUUUUCUUGUUUUGGAAGCAGAAUAAUAAUAACAAAUUAACUAAUCUAGAGAAAUAAAUAUGUUCAGUAGAGAGAUAAUUGCAUUUGCUUGGGUAAAAUAUUUUGGCUUGCUCAGUAUCACAUGUAUACAGCUGUAUUUCUAAAACAACUUUAUUCAUAAAUAACAUUUCUUUAAAUAUUUAUUGAUAAUGAUAUGGCAAUCUAGUAUACUAUGACUUUAACCUCUAUAGAUUCUAAGAUCAAAUAUGUAAAUGAAAUAAACAUACAUCUAUGCAUAUUCAACUAGGAAGCAUUGUAUUGAAACACUAAUGAUAGUAUUAAGGGUUGAAUUUUAUUUUCAUUUUUUUACUUUUCUAUAUUUUUCCAAACUUUGAGAAUGAGCACAUAGAAAAGAAAACCAAUUAACAUUUUUAUAUAUGAGAUAGAGCAGAAAAGAUAAUGACAUUGUUCAAGAGAGAAAUAGUAGAUAUGGGUGUUCCAUAAGUUUCUUGCUAGCUUUAAAACUAAUUUUAUGAGUUCUCAAUUGUACUGUCAAAAAAUAUAUAGAUUUCAAUCCAGUAGAGAUUCAAAUAGAAAUAUCUGUCAAAUAUUCUUUCUUAAUAGAUAAUUAAUGAAAAAGCAUACAAUAUGACUGUCAUAAAAGGUGAAUGCCUUUCACCUCAUGGGCACUUACGUAUCUAAUGAAUCCAUGAACUGGUCAAUGAAUAGAAACUGAAGUUUGUGUAUUAAAAUCCUGUCUCUGCUGCCCUCCAGUGGCUUAACUCUGAAGAACUUCAAAAGAGAAAAUCAAGUGCCAUCUAUUCCCAGAUCCUUAUUUGUGGUGAGUAUGAAUGCUCAGGUGUGUGAGCUUGGGAUUUUUCCUGGACAGUUUUGUAUUUGUCCUAUUAGAUAUUACCUUGGUAUAUCAAGACCAAAUUCCCAAGACUAAAUGCAUUACCCAUCUCCUCCCACCUGCAGAAGGGUAAGCUGGAGCAACUGCCAUAAAUGGUGCCAAUAAAUACUAGCAUUUGUUCGUGGACAGUUUAUAGAGACUUUUCAAUUGUGUUAUCACAGAAAACUCCUAGUAAGAAAUAGUGGUGAUAGCAAUUGCAUCUCGUUUAUUAGAAAUUUCUCUGAUUCCCUUUACAAAGUGGGUGAUGGUGUCAGUGUUAUCUUUAGGUAUGAAAACCCUAUGAACAGCUUAUAGUCUAAAACUUACAAUGUGGUGCUGUAGAAAGAUGUUAGCUUAGCAGCAAACAUCAUCAAUAAAUAUCUUCUGCAAUCUGGUAACCAUUAGAAUUAUAUAUUUUUUAUUGCCCUGGACUAUGAGAAUUACAUUCUGAAUUCAUUUGGUAUCUUGUGUAGGCAUAGGAGAAAACCUUUUUGUAUCUAAGAAAAUGGGGUUUUUGACAUUGACUAUCACCUGUUCCCAGAUCUCCUAGGACUCAGACCUCAGACCUCACACCCCUGAAAGCUGAAACCUCGGGGGUUUCAGAUAGUGAUCUCUAAUUGAGUUCUUGUCUAGAUGAAUUCUUAAAAUAUUUUACCUUUCCCUGUUAUUGUGGUUCUGGAAUAUUCUUUUGGUUUUAGCCAAGGAAAUCUCUCAAUUUCUUCAAAAGUUUGCUACUGUGCCUCUAGGUGGUACAAUUAUUUCCAUCUUUUUGCUCAUUUGCAGCCUGUCUUUUUGGAUUAUAGUCUCUCACUACUUAAGCAAUUUCUUCCUUUUCUGUAGUAUGUCUCAUUUGUCCUUCAUAAUAAUGAAUGUCUGUGUUUUUUAUUCUCAGGUAGAUUACUGGAAUUUUACGUAUAUUUUAUUGGUGUUCUCAUGAAUGCUUGGAUUUAACAAUUGUACCAUUUUCCAACGUUCUAUGUCAUAGUAAUUUUGCAACUUGUUUUCAAUUAAUAAUAUGUUGAGAAUAGUGUACAUAAAAUGCAUUUUAGAACUAAUCCUAAGAUAAAGUGUCUCACCAAAGCAUAUUUUAUAACAAUAAAGCAGUAGAAAAAAUAAGUUAACUAAAUGUCCAACAAGUGGAGAUGUAUUAUAUAAAUUCAGUACCAUCAAAAAUGUAAUAUUACUCAGUAAUUAAAAUUAUAUUUUAUUUAAAUGUUCAUUGGCUUGUGAAAAGUCUAUAACAUACCAAGUAGAAGUUAAAGUUAUAUUUUGUAAGUUAAAAAAAUUUUAAAAGGUGAGAAGUAUAUACAAGAUUUUUCCCAUUUUUUUAGAAAUGGAUAUGCAUGUGUAUAUUGUAUGUAUGUUUAUAUGUUA